Molecule: ribosomal RNA, 180 nt
Filed under: Staphylococcus aureus
Lineage: Bacteria; Bacillati; Bacillota; Bacilli; Caryophanales; Staphylococcaceae
Description: partial 23S ribosomal RNA
Rfam family: Bacterial large subunit ribosomal RNA
Source: RNAcentral
AGAUUAAGUUAUUAAGGGCGCACGGUGGAUGCCUUGGCACUAGAAGCCGAUGAAGGACGUUACUAACGACGAUAUGCUUUGGGGAGCUGUAAGUAAGCUUUGAUCCAGAGAUUUCCGAAUGGGGAAACCCAGCAUGAGUUAUGUCAUGUUAUCGAUAUGUGAAUACAUAGCAUAUCAGAA